UGCCGCGUGGAGGAAGACGGCCGUGGUUGUAACUCCUUUUUAGUAGAAGAAGUACUGACGGUAUCUGAGGAAUAAGCAUCGGCUAACUCCGUGC
Molecule: ribosomal RNA, 94 nt
Filed under: uncultured bacterium
Lineage: Bacteria
Description: partial 16S ribosomal RNA
Source: RNAcentral